UACGUAGGGUGCGAGCGUUGUCCGGAAUUACUGGGCGUAAAGAGCUCGUAGGUGGUUUGUCGCGUUGUUCGUGAAAACCGGGGGCUUAACCCUCGGCGUGCGGGCGAUACGGGCAGACUUGAGUACUGCAGGGGAGACUGGAAUUCCUGGUGUAGUGGUGAAAUGCGUAGAUAUCGGGAGGAACACCAGUGGCGAAGGCGGCCCCCUGGGCCGCGCCUGACGCUGAGACGCGAAAGCGCGGGGAGCGAACGGG
Molecule: ribosomal RNA, 253 nt
Filed under: uncultured bacterium
Lineage: Bacteria
Description: partial 16S ribosomal RNA
Rfam family: Bacterial small subunit ribosomal RNA
Source: RNAcentral